UGACUGUAGGUGAAAGCUUACAUCUCUUCGGAGCAUUUUACGAGGUGCUGCAUGGUUGUCGUCAGCUCGUGCCGUGAGGUGUCGGGUUAAGUCCCAUAACGAGCGCAACCCCUACUUUAGUUGCCAUCAGGUAAUGCUGGGGACUCUAAAGGAACUGCCUACGCAAGUAGUGAGGAAGGCGGGGAUGACGUCAAAUCAGCACGGCCCUUACGUCCAGGGCUGCACACGUGCUACAAUGGCCGAUACAGAGGGCAGCUACCUGGUGACAGGAUGCAAAAUCUCCAAAGUCGGUCUCAGUUCGGAUCGGAGUCUGCAACCCGACUCCGUGAAGUUGGAUUCGCUAGUAAUCGCGCAUCAGCCAUGGCGCGGUGAAUACGUUCCCGGGCCUU
RNAcentral lists this ribosomal RNA (389 nucleotides) under uncultured Sphingobacteriales bacterium. RNAcentral's name for it is "bacterial SSU rRNA". It matches the Rfam family "Bacterial small subunit ribosomal RNA", at positions 992 to 1382 of the family's 1533-position model. The record is from RNAcentral. Lineage: Bacteria; Pseudomonadati; Bacteroidota; Sphingobacteriia; Sphingobacteriales.